UACGGAGGGUGCGAGCGUUGUUCGGAAUUACUGGGCGUAAAGGGCGCGUAGGCGGCUUCGAUAGUCGGGUGUGAAAUGCCUGGGCUCAACCCAGGAACUGCACUCGAAACUUCGAGGCUAGAGUAUGGGAGAGGAUAGUGGAAUUCCCAGUGUAGAGGUGAAAUUCGUAGAUAUUGGGAAGAACACCGGUGGCGAAGGCGGCUAUCUGGACCAUAACUGACGCUGAGGCGCGAAAGCGUGGGGAGCAAACAGG
Molecule: ribosomal RNA, 253 nt
Filed under: uncultured bacterium
Lineage: Bacteria
Description: partial 16S ribosomal RNA
Rfam family: Bacterial small subunit ribosomal RNA
Source: RNAcentral